GGCGAGUGAAGAGGGAAGAGCCCAAGAUUGAAAGCUGGCGUCUUCGGCGUCCGCAUUGUAAUCUCAAGAAGUGUUUUCCGCUUCGGACCAUGCCUAAGUCCCUUGGAAAAGGGCAUCAUAGAGGGUGAUAAUCCCGUACAUGGCAUGGAGCGCCCGAGGCUUUGUGAUACGCUUUCUAAGAGUCGAGAUGUUUGGGAAUGCAGCUCAAAAUGGGUGGUAAAUGCCAUCUAAGGCUAAAUAUUGGGGAGAGACCGAUAGCGAACAAGUACAGUGAUGGAAAGAUGAAAAGAACUUUGAAAAGAGAGUUAAACAGUACGUGAAAUUGCCAAAAGGGAAGGGUAGGAGGUCAGAGAUGCGUCUUGGGAUUCAGCCUUGCUUCUGCUUGGUGUUUUUCCCAAGUUUGCAGGCCAACGUCGGUUUUGGGCACUGGAGAAGGGUGGAAGGAACGUGGCACCUCUCGGGGUGUGUUAUAGCCUUCUACUGGAUACAGCGACCGAGACCGAGGACAGCAGCGUACUCGCAAGAGCGGGCCUUCGGGCACCUUUACGCUUAGGGCGUUGGCAUAAUGGCCCUCUACCACCCGUCUUGAAACACGGACCAAGGAGUCUAACAUGUAUGCGAGUCUUUGGGUGGCAAACCCAUAGGCGCAAUGAAAGUGAAUUCAGGUGGGAUCCGCAAGGUGCACCAUCGACCGAUCCUCACGUCUUUUAAGUCGUGGAUUUGAGUAAGAGCAUACCUGUUGGGACCCGAAAGAUGGUGAACUAUGCCUGAAUAGGGUGAAGCCAGAGGAAACUCUGGUGGAGGCUCGUAGCGGUUCUGACGUGCAAAUCGAUCGUCAAAUUUGGGUAUAGGGGCGAAAGACUAAUCGAACCAUUAGAAUGCGUAAAAACAUUUCUACUGUGUCUCAAAAUUGCAAAAGCAAACAAACUCGUAAUGGUGCUUCAUAGUGCAGUAACAGUUUGGCUAAACUCUCUCUUGGGAAGACAACAGUUCUUGUCGAAAUCUUCGAGCUAUUAGUCUAAGUCGAGAGGUCGGGGAGCAAAUCCAAACAAUUCUGCAACAUUAAACAUUUUGCGAGUGUGUCUGUGGGCAUUUUUGAAUGCGGCAGAGUGUGGAUAUAUUGCUAGGUGGUUAAGAGGUGGCUAAAAGGGCACACCUAGUGGGCGCUGAAGCUCGCGACACUGUCAAAAUGCGGGGACACCCUAAAGCUUUCAAUACCAAGCCGGCGUGGAAACACAGUCGGUGGCCGAGUUAACGACCCUGGGUAUGGUAAAAACUUGAAAGAUAUUACAAUGGGCAAUCCGCAGCCAAGCUCUAAGGGUCGUAAAAAGCCUAUGAGUGCAGUUCACAGACUAGAUGGCAGUGGGUUUCGUCUUUUUCGGAAGGCGAGGCUUAAGAUAUAGUCGGUCCUCUCUCGAAAGGGAGCCGGAGGAUAAAAGAUCGAGGUUCUUCAGCAACAGACCUCUUUCCAGAGCCUCUGGGAGUCA
RNAcentral lists this ribosomal RNA (1487 nucleotides) under Anthracocystis cenchri-elymoidis. RNAcentral describes it as "LSU rRNA". It matches the Rfam family "Eukaryotic large subunit ribosomal RNA", at positions 88 to 1459 of the family's 3401-position model. The record is from RNAcentral. Lineage: Eukaryota; Fungi; Basidiomycota; Ustilaginomycetes; Ustilaginales; Ustilaginaceae.